Molecule: RNase P RNA, 371 nt
Filed under: uncultured Collinsella sp.
Lineage: Bacteria; Bacillati; Actinomycetota; Coriobacteriia; Coriobacteriales; Coriobacteriaceae
Description: Bacterial RNase P class A
Rfam family: Bacterial RNase P class A
About the family: Ribonuclease P (RNase P) is a ubiquitous endoribonuclease, found in archaea, bacteria and eukarya as well as chloroplasts and mitochondria.
Source: RNAcentral
UGGGCUAGACGAUCGCGCGUACGCGGUUCCGCAAGGGGCACGUCGUCCGUGAGGAAAGUCCGGGCUCCAGAGGGCAGGAUGCUGGCUAACGGCCAGGCGGGGUGACCCGACGGAUUAGUGCCGCAGAAAAGAAGACUCCCACCUGCGCCUUGUGCGUAAAGGGAAAAGCUGAAACGGUGGUGUAAGAGACCACCAGCGUCACGGUAACGUGACGGCUUGGUAAACCCCAUCCGGAGCAAACGCGAAUAGGAACGCUAUGGGUCGGCCCGGCUCGCGUUCGGGUUGCGUGCGACUGCUGCACCGUACGCUUUGGCGUGCGGGCAAAGAUAAAUGAUCGUCCACGACAGAACCCGGCUUAUCGGCCCACUCGG